Molecule: ribosomal RNA, 514 nt
Filed under: uncultured bacterium
Lineage: Bacteria
Description: partial 16S ribosomal RNA
Rfam family: Bacterial small subunit ribosomal RNA
Source: RNAcentral
GAUGAACGCUGGCGGCGUGCCUAAUACAUGCAAGUCGAGCGAACAGAUGAGAAGCUUGCUUCUCUGAUGUUAGCGGCGGUCGGGUGAGUAACACGUGGGUAACCUACCUAUAAGACUGGGAUAACUCCGGGAAACCGAGGCUAAUACCGGAUAAUAUUUUGAACCGCAUGGUUCAAUAGUGAAAGACGGUUUCGGCUGUCACUUAUAGAUGGACCCGCGCCGUAUUAGCUAGUUGGUAAGGUAACGGCUUACCAAGGCGACGAUACGUAGCCGACCUGGGAGGGUGAUCGGCCACACUGGAACUGAGACACGGUCCAGACUCCUACGGGAGGCAGCAGUAGGGAAUCUUCCGCAAUGGGCGAAAGCCUGACGGAGCAACGCCGCGUGAGUGAUGAAGGUCUUCGGAUCGUAAAACUCUGUUGUUAGGGAAGAACAAAUUUGUUAGUAACUGAACAAGUCUUGACGGUACCUAACCAGAAAGCCACGGCUAACUACGUGCCAGCCGCCGCGGUAA